CGUCAUCGUAGGGUUAGUCGGGACCUAAGUCGAGUCCGAAAGGGGUAGACGAUGGCAAAUCGGUUAAUAUUCCGAUACCGACGGUUGUUUGUUUGAAUGGUGGGGGGACGCAUAGAGUUAAUCGAGCUCACUGAUGGAAUAGUGGGUCGAAGGGUGUAGGUUGUAUCGUAGGCAAAUCCGCGAUACAUUCGACCGAGACCUGACAGGCAGAGCAAUUGCUUCGGCAAGCGCUCUGAAUCGAUGAUACUGUCGUGCCGAGAAAAGCCUCUAAAUGAGAACAACCGUUGCCCGUACCGUAAACCGACACAGGUGGGUGAGAUGAGUAUUCUAAGGCGCGUGGAUGAACCCUGGUUAAGGAACUCUGCAAACUAGCACCGUAUCUUCGGUAUAAGGUGUGCCUUAUUUGUUAACAGAUUAACUCUGUGAAGCAUUGAUAGGUCGCAGCAAAGAGUCCCUCCCGACUGUUUAC
This 469-nucleotide ribosomal RNA is filed under the name uncultured bacterium. Its description in RNAcentral is "bacterial LSU rRNA". It matches the Rfam family "Bacterial large subunit ribosomal RNA", at positions 1367 to 1807 of the family's 2925-position model. The record is from RNAcentral.